CCCCCAAAAUCUGCAACAGUGCAGGAACAAGGAAGGGUAACACUGAUCGAAGGCGGAGAAGGCUGUGCCGUCCAGCCAGACCAUCCCUUUACAGUAGUCCAGAGUCACCUGGAAAAGAACUCCCUCCUUGAAGAAUGUCCCAGGCUCCCCCCAAAAUCUGCAACAGUGCAGGAACAAGAUAUUCAUGAUCCAGACCAGCCAAGUUGUGAAAGCCUCCUUUGUGAAGGUGAGGUGUUUGCUGCUUGUUUCAGAUGCCAAGCUUUACUAUGUUUUGAACAUUUUGAUAAUAGUGAAGAAUGUGAUUGC
Long non-coding RNA from Strongylocentrotus purpuratus (purple sea urchin), 306 nucleotides. RefSeq lists it as uncharacterized. NCBI's taxonomy places the organism in Eukaryota, Metazoa, Echinodermata, Echinoidea, Camarodonta, Strongylocentrotidae. The record is from RefSeq and is a predicted model, not a curated record. The transcript is spliced from 3 exons.